RNAcentral lists this ribosomal RNA (615 nucleotides) under uncultured bacterium. RNAcentral describes it as "bacterial SSU rRNA". It matches the Rfam family "Bacterial small subunit ribosomal RNA", at positions 887 to 1504 of the family's 1533-position model. The record is from RNAcentral.
CGCAAGGUUAAAACUCAAAGAAAUUGACGGGGACCCGCACAAGCGGUGGAGCAUGUGGUUUAAUUCGAGGCAACGCGAAGAACCUUACCAGGCCUUGACAUGUCCAGUUUGGAUCCCAGAGAUGGAUUCCUUCACCUCGGGUGGCUGGAACACAGGUGCUGCAUGGCUGUCGUCAGCUCGUGUCGUGAGAUGUUGGGUUAAGUCCCGCAACGAGCGCAACCCUCGUCCUUAGUUGCCAUCAGGUAAUGCUGGGAACUCUAAGGAAACUGCCCGUGAUAAGCGGGAGGAAGGUGGGGACGACGUCAAGUCAUCAUGGCCCUUACGGCCUGGGCUACACACGUGCUACAAUGGCAUCGACAAAGGGCAGCGAACUUGCAAAAGUGAGCGAAUCCCUAAACGAUGUCUCAGUUCGGAUUGUCCUCUGCAACUCGAGGGCAUGAAGCUGGAAUCGCUAGUAAUCGUGGAUCAGCAUGCCACGGUGAAUACGUUCCCGGGUCUUGUACACACCGCCCGUCACACCAUGGGAGUUGUUUCUGCCUUAAGCAGGUGAGCCAAUCUGGCAGCCUACCACGGCAGGGAUGAUGACUGGGGUGAAGUCGUAACAAGGUAACCGUA